Molecule: ribosomal RNA, 591 nt
Filed under: uncultured bacterium
Lineage: Bacteria
Description: bacterial SSU rRNA
Rfam family: Bacterial small subunit ribosomal RNA
Source: RNAcentral
GACGAACGCUGGCGGCGUGCCUAACACAUGCAAGUCGAGCGAAGUGCUUGGAGAUGAUUUCUUCGGACUGAUUCACCAAGUAUCUUAGCGGCGGACGGGUGAGUAACGCGUGAGAAACCUGCCUUUCACAAAGGGAUAGCCUCGGGAAACUGUGAUUAAUACCUUAUGAAACUGUAUUACCGCAUGGUAGAACAGUCAAAGCGCUUAAGCGGUGAGAGAUGGUCUCGCGUCCCAUUAGCUAGUUGGUGAGAUAAAAGCCCACCAAGGCGACGAUGGGUAGCCGGCCUGAGAGGGUGACCGGCCACACUGGAACUGAGACACGGUCCAGACUCCUACGGGAGGCAGCAGUGGGGAAUAUUGCACAAUGGAGGGAACUCUGAUGCAGCGACGCCGCGUGAGUGAUGAAGGCUUUCGAGUCGUAAAACUCUGUCCUUGGGGACGAUAAUGACGGUACCCAAGGAGGAAGCCCCGGCUAACUACGUGCCAGCAGCCGCGGUAAUACGUAGGGGGCGAGCGUUGUCCGGAAUUAUUGGGCGUAAAGGGUUCGCAAGCGGCCGAUUAAGUCAGAUGUGAAAUCCCACGGGUUAACCG